Molecule: small nuclear RNA, 95 nt
Filed under: Nicotiana attenuata
Lineage: Eukaryota; Viridiplantae; Streptophyta; Magnoliopsida; Solanales; Solanaceae
Source: RNAcentral
GUUCUUUCCAGAACAUCCGAUAAAAUUGAAGCGAUAUAGAAAAGAUUAGCUUGGUCUGUGCAAGGCUGACAAAAAUAGAGAAACAAUCGAUUUUU